This 907-nucleotide ribosomal RNA is filed under the name uncultured bacterium. Its description in RNAcentral is "bacterial SSU rRNA". It matches the Rfam family "Bacterial small subunit ribosomal RNA", at positions 33 to 922 of the family's 1533-position model. The record is from RNAcentral.
ACGCUGGCGGCGUGCCUAAUACAUGCAAGUAGAACGCUGAAGAGAGGAGCUUGCUCUUCUUGGAAGAGUUGCGAACGGGUGAGUAACGCGUAGGUAACCUGCCUUGUAGCGGGGGAUAACUAUUGGAAACGAUAGCUAAUACCGCAUAACAAUGGGUGACCCAUGUCAUUCAUUUGAAAGGGGCAACUGCUCCACUACAAGAUGGACCUGCGUUGUAUUAGCUAGUAGGUGAGGUAACGGCUCACCUAGGCGACGAUACAUAGCCGACCUGAGAGGGUGAUCGGCCACACUGGGACUGAGACACGGCCCAGACUCCUACGGGAGGCAGCAGUAGGGAAUCUUCGGCAAUGGGGGCAACCCUGACCGAGCAACGCCGCGUGAGUGAAGAAGGUUUUCGGAUCGUAAAGCUCUGUUGUAAGUCAAGAACGAGUGUGAGAGUGGAAAGUUCACACUGUGACGGUAGCUUACCAGAAAGGGACGGCUAACUACGUGCCAGCAGCCGCGGUAAUACGUAGGUCCCGAGCGUUGUCCGGAUUUAUUGGGCGUAAAGCGAGCGCAGGCGGUUUGAUAAGUCUGAAGUUAAAGGCUGUGGCUCAACCAUAGUUCGCUUUGGAAACUGUCAAACUUGAGUGCAGAAGGGGAGAGUGGAAUUCCAUGUGUAGCGGUGAAAUGCGUAGAUAUAUGGAGGAACACCGGUGGCGAAAGCGGCUCUCUGGUCUGUAACUGACGCUGAGGCUCGAAAGCGUGGGGAGCGAACAGGAUUAGAUAUCCUGGUAGUCCACGCCGUAAACGAUGAGUGCUAGGUGUUGGGUCCUUUCCGGGAUUCAGUGCCGCAGCUAACGCAUUAAGCACUCCGCCUGGGGAGUACGACCGCAAGGUUGAAACUCAAAGGAAUUGACGGGGGCCC